GAUUUUCAUAAGAGGUCUAGCCUGCCCAGUGACAAAGUUCAACGGCCGCGGUAACCUAACCGUGCAAAGGUAGCAUAAUCACUUGUUCUCUAAAUAGGGACUUGUAUCAAUGGCAUCACGAGGGCUUCACUGUCUCCUUUCUCUAAUCAGUGAAACUGAUCUUCCCGUGAAGAAGCGGGAAUUUUAUUAUAAGACGAGAAGACCCCAUGGAGCUUUAAGCAAUGUAUUUACCUUUUAUUAUUUUAUCCACCUAGCAAAAUACCUAAAUACUAGCUUUAGGUUGGGGGGACCGCGGAGUAAAAACUAACCUCCACGACAAAUAGGGCCACGCCCUUAUCUACGAGCCACAACUCUAAGAAUCAAUAAACUGAUGUUUAAUGACCCAACAAUUUGAUUAACGAACCAAGUUACCCUGGGGAUAACAGCGCAAUCUACUUCAAGAGCCCCUAUCGACAAGUAGGUUUACGACCUCGAUGUUGGAUCAGGGUAUCCUAGUGGUGCAGCCGCUACUAAAGGUUCGUUUGUUCAACGAUUAAAACCCUACGUGAUCUGAGU
RNAcentral lists this ribosomal RNA (555 nucleotides) under Hylarana nigrovittata (black-striped frog). RNAcentral's name for it is "Sylvirana nigrovittata (black-striped frog) partial 16S ribosomal RNA". It matches the Rfam family "Bacterial large subunit ribosomal RNA", at positions 1838 to 2610 of the family's 2925-position model. The record is from RNAcentral. Lineage: Eukaryota; Metazoa; Chordata; Amphibia; Anura; Ranidae.